This 222-nucleotide long non-coding RNA is filed under the name Homo sapiens (human). RNAcentral's name for it is "LHRI_LNC640.1". Lineage: Eukaryota; Metazoa; Chordata; Mammalia; Primates; Hominidae. The record is from RNAcentral.
CUGCAGAUGCGCACCCUGAUGAGUUAGUUCUAACUGGACACGAGACCGACUCACGGCCAUUUUCCAGCUUCUCUUAUAGCUAAAUGGACAGGGAAUAUGGAUGCCUCUCCUUCCUUCUGGCUGGACAGUGGAGUGAUGACACUAUCCUGACCCGAGGGCCAGUGCUGUAUAUGGCGGAGCAUGAGAUAGAGAGGGCCUGGGACCUUGAAGACUGUGGUAUAA